UAGAGCAGUCAAUUCACAAGUGUAGUUCGGCCUGAACCAGGACCGAGUUUCGACUUGCUUGGUGAGGCGUAUGACUUUACAAUUUGUAUUCGUGGGACAUCGGGUUGGGGCUAAUGUAUUGGCAAAAGCAGAUUGAACACCAAGGACCAAGUCGAUGCAAGAGAACAUUUGUGACUGCUCGGCGCGUGCAAAAUACUGUUUAAUCAUUUAUGUGAACUAUUUAAAUAGUUCAAUUGUCGUUGACAGUGAUGCUCUAUUUUGCAAGCAGGGGAAGCCAGAAGCCGAGAGCAGCAGGUCAUGCAGAUGCGAGUGCACUGCUUUGAUAUGGCUCUUUCGGGCUUCUAAUAGUUUGUAUGUAACAGAGCACCAUGUAAACCACAACCAUUCCAUGUCUCACCAUGGGCCAAGGGAAAACAAUGUAAACCUCGGGAAGGUGUACAACAUUAUUGGAAGUGUCUUCAGCUCGGUUGAGAAGGUGUUGUUCACAAAGAGGGCGCUCAUGAACAUAUGGUGUAAGAUAAGCCGAGAGCGAGCUGAUGACGAUGUGAGAAAGACGUUGGAAGUGUUCGCAGACAUUGUUGCAGGGGACCCAGACUUUACAUAUUCUUGCCGAUAGUGAUAGCAGAGUGAAAAGUUUGAUGUGGACAAAUGGGAGCAGCCGAAUGCAAUACCGAUUCUUUGGUCAUGUGGUUAGUGGCGGAGCUACACCCCAGGCCUGGGGGGCCUUGGCCCGGGGCGUGGCGUGAGCAGCCUUUGUUGAAUGUGGUGCUUUUAGUACUGUUGAUCACUGUAGAUUGAUGCAGCAAUGAAGCCUGCCCAGGGCUCAAUGCUAACCUGGCUCCGCCCCUGCAUGUGGUUACAUUCGACACGACGUACUUGGCAAAUCUAUAUGACAUUGCUGUUUGGGCUUCUGUGGGAGUGAAUAACCAUUUCCAAAGCAUCAUCCUCACUGGCGUGCUGAUGUGGGAUGAGCAAGUAGAGAGUUUCAAGUGGGUUUUCGGUGAGUUUCUCCAUAUGAUGGGAGGACCGGCACCUAAAACCAUCCUGACAGUAAAGUUUAUCCAAAUAGCAUGCACUGUUAGUGCAAAUGGCACGCACCAAAGAAAGCAAAGGAGAGCGUACUGCCACUCUACACGAAGAAGUGUGAGUUCCAAGCUGAGUUCUAUAAAGACGUGAACCACAUGUUGACUACGGAUGAGUUUGAGACAGCGGGGGGUAUGCUGCUUGACAAGUACAACCUGAGGAAGAAUGACCCAGAUAUAUGAAACAAGAUCAAAGUGGGCGAAGCCAUACUUCAAAGGUGUUUUGUGCACCAAAAUGACAAGUAUGCAAAGAAGCGAGAGUGCGAACAAGAUGCUGAAGUCCUAUAUGCCCCCAGCGAGCCUGAUGCACGUCUUUGUUAGGCAAUACAUGAGGCUCCAGUUUGACCACGAGAGGGAGGAAAGCUAUGAGAAGAAAAAGACAAUGCUUGGUGGUACUCCAAACUAAUGGGAUACAUAAUUGACUGGCUGAAGAAGGCAAGGAUAAUGGGAACGGGCAGAACCAUCGCACUGACUGAUAUGCUUCAUCUAGGCUGCAGUUUAAUGUGUAGUUGUUGCGCAUUGCAGUUCAUGUUCCGGGUGUUGCUCAUAGAUUGCUGGUCCCCGUACAUUCUUGACAUAGAGAAGAAAGAAUUUAUGGUGCUCGAUCCAACUGAGACUGAUCCACCAGAUGAGAUAACGGAAGCACGAGGCUUUGGCGAGGAAAUUCCAGCUCAGAUUAUGCCACCGUUUUAAUGACAUGUUUGGUGCUGGCUUGGUCGAGACUAUUGGGUGGACCUUUAUGUACCUCUUAGUGGGGCAGCAUGAACCAUGUACAAGGGAGGAAAGUGACGUCUACAUCCUGGGGUUCAUCGGGCUUUACCUUCGUUCAGCGCUUAGCUCGGAGCAGCUAGAUCACCUUCGGCAGAGAAUUGCAUACGAGAUUGUGAUCAUGAUGGGAACACGGGAGAUCUCCCAGAUUUCCUGUGCGAGGAGAUCAUUGACUGAAGGGAAUGAAUUGUGGUUCAGCAUUCGUGCUGGCUGUUCAGAUCUUUGGUCCGUGCGACGCGAGUGCUAUGUCCGUAGAAGUGCCCCUCUUAUGUUUCGGGGGCUUUUGGAGCACCCCAACCCCCAGCAGAACCUGAAAUCCAAUGAAACUUCUUUGAAUUUGUACUUUUUUAAGACCUAAGUAGUGUUGGUAGAACCACUUGUGUGGAGUGUUGUGAGAUGCCACUAUUUAAGCAUCAGCGCCUGUAUUUGUAAAGCCACUUGAGAUUUCAUGGAAUUUACUUCCAUUAGUUGUUGAA
Triticum aestivum (bread wheat) is the source of this 2326-nucleotide long non-coding RNA. RefSeq lists it as uncharacterized. The transcript is spliced from 5 exons. Lineage: Eukaryota; Viridiplantae; Streptophyta; Magnoliopsida; Poales; Poaceae. The record is from RefSeq and is a predicted model, not a curated record.